This 301-nucleotide ribosomal RNA is filed under the name uncultured bacterium. RNAcentral's name for it is "partial 16S ribosomal RNA". It matches the Rfam family "Bacterial small subunit ribosomal RNA", at positions 509 to 809 of the family's 1533-position model. The record is from RNAcentral.
CAGCAGCCGCGGGAAUACGUAGGUGGCAAGCGUUGUCCGGAAUUAUUGGGCGUAAAGGGCUCGCAGGCGGUUUCUUAAGUCUGAUGUGAAAGCCCCCGGCUCAACCGGGGAGGGUCAUUGGAAACUGGGAAACUUGAGUACAGAAGAGGAGAGUGGAAUUCCACGUGUAGCGGUGAAAUGCGUAGAGAUGUGGAGGAACACCAGUGGCGAAGGCGACUCUCUGGUCUGUAACUGACGCUGAGGAGCGAAAGCGUGGGGAGCGAACAGGAUUAGAUACCCCUGUAGUCCCUGUCUCUUAUAA